GAUGAACGCUAGCGGCAGGCUUAAUACAUGCAAGUCGUGGGGCAGCAUGGGGUAGCAAUACCCUGAUGGCGACCGGCAAACGGGUGCGGAACACGUACGCAACCUUCCUUUAACUGGAGAAUAGCCCCUCGAAAGAGGGAUUAAUACUCCGUAAUAUCCCGAUAUGGCAUCAUAAUGGGAUUAUAGCUCCGGCGGUUAGAGAUGGGCGUGCGCCUGAUUAGGUAGUUGGCGGGGUAAUGGCCCACCAAGCCUGCGAUCAGUAACUGGUGUGAGAGCACGACCAGUCACACGGGCACUGAGACACGGGCCCGACUCCUACGGGAGGCAGCAGUAAGGAAUAUUGGUCAAUGGACGCAAGUCUGAACCAGCCAUGCCGUGUGGAGGAUUAAGGCCCUC
This 396-nucleotide ribosomal RNA is filed under the name uncultured bacterium. RNAcentral's name for it is "bacterial SSU rRNA". It matches the Rfam family "Bacterial small subunit ribosomal RNA", at positions 28 to 419 of the family's 1533-position model. The record is from RNAcentral.